CGGUAAAACAUCAAAACAUCUACCACGCUGCACUAAAUUAGGUUCUUAUUCAGUAUUUCUGGCUUGAUUUCCAGUACAAACACCUGAACAUGCUUCACUGACUGAUUCCUCUGCAACGCACUCAGCGUAAAGGAGAGACGUGAGGGAAACGAGGAGAGAGGGUUGAAUGACUCAAACUGGGAGAUAAAACUUGGACGUCAUCUUUCUCAG
Molecule: long non-coding RNA, 210 nt
Organism: Labeo rohita (rohu)
Lineage: Eukaryota; Metazoa; Chordata; Actinopteri; Cypriniformes; Cyprinidae
Exons: 3
Source: RefSeq, a predicted model, not a curated record